RNAcentral lists this ribosomal RNA (253 nucleotides) under uncultured bacterium. RNAcentral's name for it is "partial 16S ribosomal RNA". It matches the Rfam family "Bacterial small subunit ribosomal RNA", at positions 524 to 776 of the family's 1533-position model. The record is from RNAcentral.
UACGUAGGGUGCGAGCGUUGUCCGGAAUUAUUGGGCGUAAAGAGCUUGUAGGCGGUCUGUCGCGUCUGCUGUGAAAAUCCGAGGCUCAACCUCGGACUUGCAGUGGGUACGGGCAGACUAGAGUGUGGUAGGGGAGACUGGAAUUCCUGGUGUAGCGGUGGAAUGCGCAGAUAUCAGGAGGAACACCGAUGGCGAAGGCAGGUCUCUGGGCCAUUACUGACACUGAGAAGCGAAAGCAUGGGGAGCGAACAGG